UUAUUGUGGUAACUUUAAGAUGGC
Molecule: microRNA, 24 nt
Filed under: Brachypodium distachyon (stiff brome)
Lineage: Eukaryota; Viridiplantae; Streptophyta; Magnoliopsida; Poales; Poaceae
Description: bdi-miR7712-3p
Source: miRBase by way of RNAcentral